UUGAGUGGGGAAGAAAGGGGCCCUGUCCGAUUGGAAUCACAGGAAGGGGACGGUCCAGGGCUGCAGAGACAACAUCACACUGGAGAAAAGCUCGAGGCACCAUGCACGGCAGGAACCAGCAUUUCAGGUGGCCAAGACAUUUUCAUUUGCACAAAGGAUAUCACCUGCAGCAAGUAUUUUUGCUCUGAGUUUUUCUGACAGUUUCAAACUAGAGAACAAGGAUUUUUUAAGCCUCUACUGAGUAAUGGGUGUGAAGGGAUGACCUCCAGUGGCACCUCUGGAAGAUCACCUGGGUCACUUGCAGAGGACCUUCUUCCUCCCGUGUCACGCACCAGGUUCCACCUCAGAAAGGCAAUUCAGAAUCCUCCACAGUCAGGUGUUUCCAUCCAUCUCAACUUUCUGCCCCAAAUGGAGAAAGUUCUCACUUUUAAGAGCUCAUGGGACUUGACAACACCCAUCUGGAUAAUCCAGGAUAAAUCACCCCACAAGAAGUUCCAUAAAUUUAAUUUCAUCUGCUAGAUCCCUCUCGCCAUGUAACAGAAU
Long non-coding RNA from Chinchilla lanigera (long-tailed chinchilla), 543 nucleotides. RefSeq lists it as uncharacterized. Lineage: Eukaryota; Metazoa; Chordata; Mammalia; Rodentia; Chinchillidae. The transcript is spliced from 3 exons. The record is from RefSeq and is a predicted model, not a curated record.